UCCCCCUCAAGUCGGCCCUCCCGAUCGACCGACUGUCGCAGCUGGUCGACCAGAAUGACUCGGUCGGCUUCGGCGGCCGCAACUUUGUCUCUCCAAGCCACGCGCAGAUCACUGAACUUUCGAUAUCCGACCUCUAGCUCGGAUAUGUUGUAAACCAGCUACACAAAACAAGACCGACCGUCAGAAGACCGAACUCGCGGAAGCAAUAAUGAAAACAAAGAAGAGAGAAACUCACCCGGAUCAUCAUCGGGUAGAAUGAAGACAGCAUGUCGGAGACACGCUGAUUCUUCAUCGCCUCGAUGUCGGCU
RNAcentral lists this long non-coding RNA (308 nucleotides) under Elaeis guineensis (African oil palm). Its description in RNAcentral is "long non-coding RNA (EGUI_LNC082845)". Lineage: Eukaryota; Viridiplantae; Streptophyta; Magnoliopsida; Arecales; Arecaceae. The record is from RNAcentral.